CUUGGAUCUGGACUUUUAGAACUGGUCAGGACCUGACAGAUCCUCCAGCCCAGUUCUCCCGGCUCUCAAACACUGGCAUCAUUUAUAAUUCCCUGGAAAAUCACCAGCAGGUAAAUGAAGGAGAAAAGAAAAGAACAAAAUCCACCGGGAACCAGAGACUUCCAGGCUCCAAAGACAGGCAAUCUCCACCAGGAAGGCUGGAGUGCAGCUGAGGUCUGGCUUUAGCCAAGGAGAGCACCUUGAAACCUGGCAGAGAAUUACAGUGAACCAGAAGACUAAGUGAAGCAUGAACUGGCAUAAUAUGCUUUCCUGGCUGAAAACCAUGAAUGACCCAGAAUAGUUCAUAUCUUUGGAAGAUCCUUAUUUUCCUUGUAAAUGAAAGUCAUGCAUUUGGAAUAAUAACAUGAAAUGAUGUGAAUGACAAUUUGGCCAGGAAGUGACCAGCAAUGGAAAAAGGGAAAUAAUCAGCACAUCUGCAUGUGUGCCCAUCUCAGAGACACAAACUGUGAAUAACAACUCACUUGGCUUCAUAACCAAGACCUACUCUGAGGAAUUGCAUCUCUUCCUUGGAGACCUUGAUUGGCCUGCUAGGUUAAAGGCAUUUCACUAAAUUCUUGGAGGAGUCUGAGAGAACUUGGGGGUGCUUGAGGAACCCAAAGGUGUGAAGUAAAAGCUGGAAACCAAGAUUGCUGGGAAAGUUCAGAGAAAGUAGAGAUUACUUCGUUUGUUGGAGAUCACAUGCAAGUAUAGACAGGAUUUCCACAUGUCGCCCAGGCUGAUCUCAGACUCCUGACCUGGAUCUUCCCACCUCAGCCACUGAACGUGCUGGGAUUACAGAGGAUGUCCAGCUAUCAUUCCAUUUGUCUGCUUUUUAUGCCUAAAAUUCAUGGAAGAGUCAGCUGGGCAUGCCAUCUCACCACCUCACCUCUUCUCCAUGCCAGUCGGGCUCCCACUUCUGCUGCUUGAUGGUGACUCCUGCUCCAGAGACAAGGUCUUGCUAUGUUGCCCAGGCUGGUCUCAAACUACUGUCCUUAAGUGAUCUUCCUGCCUCGGCCACCCAAAAUGCUGAGAUUACAGGUGUCAGCCACCGUGCCCAGCUCACCGUAAGCCUAGAAUUGUACGAUUGGAACUCAAUGACGUUCACGCUAUUCUUAGAAACAGUUGAGCCAGUGGCGGUGGAGUCUGAAGGCUCUGGAAUCUUUUCCUUCGUGUGGCAGCAACUUAUUUUUCCUGCGGAGGCUCGGUGGU
Long non-coding RNA from Homo sapiens (human), 1248 nucleotides. Ensembl annotates it as long intergenic non-protein coding RNA 1517. The record is from Ensembl. NCBI's taxonomy places the organism in Eukaryota, Metazoa, Chordata, Mammalia, Primates, Hominidae.